RNAcentral lists this small RNA (31 nucleotides) under Bombyx mori (domestic silkworm). RNAcentral describes it as "ovarian small RNA-25939". The record is from RNAcentral. Lineage: Eukaryota; Metazoa; Arthropoda; Insecta; Lepidoptera; Bombycidae.
UCAUAGGUCCUCUCCGACCUCACAGCCGAUG